UACAGAGGGGGCAAGCGUUAUUCGGAAUUAUUGGGCGUAAAGGGCGCGUAGGCGGCUUGGCAAGUGGAAGGUGAAAUCCCUCGGCUUAACCGAGGAACUGCCCUCCAAACUGCUUUGCUUGAGGCCGGGAGAGGUGAGUGGAAUUCCCAGUGUAGCGGUGAAAUGCGUAGAUAUUGGGAGGAACACCAGUGGCGAAGGCGGCUCACUGGUCCGGUACUGACGCUGAGGUGCGAAAGCGUGGGGAGCAAACAGG
Molecule: ribosomal RNA, 253 nt
Filed under: uncultured bacterium
Lineage: Bacteria
Description: partial 16S ribosomal RNA
Rfam family: Bacterial small subunit ribosomal RNA
Source: RNAcentral